Molecule: transfer RNA, 72 nt
Filed under: Cavia porcellus (domestic guinea pig)
Lineage: Eukaryota; Metazoa; Chordata; Mammalia; Rodentia; Caviidae
Rfam family: tRNA
About the family: Transfer RNA (tRNA) molecules are approximately 80 nucleotides in length. Their secondary structure includes four short double-helical elements and three loops (D, anti-codon, and T loops). Further hydrogen bonds mediate the characteristic L-shaped molecular structure. tRNAs have two regions of fundamental functional importance: the anti-codon, which is responsible for specific mRNA codon recognition, and the 3' end, to which the tRNAs corresponding amino acid is attached (by aminoacyl-tRNA synthetases). tRNAs cope with the degeneracy of the genetic code in two manners: having more than one tRNA (with a specific anti-codon) for a particular amino acid; and 'wobble' base-pairing, i.e. permitting non-standard base-pairing at the 3rd anti-codon position.
Source: Rfam by way of RNAcentral
AGGGAUGUAGCUCAGCAUUAUAGCACCUGCCUGGCAAGCAUGAGCUUCUAGGUUUGAUUCCUGGCAUCUGUG